This 526-nucleotide ribosomal RNA is filed under the name Bifidobacterium pseudocatenulatum. Its description in RNAcentral is "bacterial SSU rRNA". It matches the Rfam family "Bacterial small subunit ribosomal RNA", at positions 164 to 702 of the family's 1533-position model. Lineage: Bacteria; Bacillati; Actinomycetota; Actinomycetes; Bifidobacteriales; Bifidobacteriaceae. The record is from RNAcentral.
UAAUGCCGGAUGCUCCGACUCCUCGCAUGGGGUGUCGGGAAAGAUUUCAUCGGUAUGGGAUGGGGUCGCGUCCUAUCAGGUAGUCGGCGGGGUAACGGCCCACCGAGCCUACGACGGGUAGCCGGCCUGAGAGGGCGACCGGCCACAUUGGGACUGAGAUACGGCCCAGACUCCUACGGGAGGCAGCAGUGGGGAAUAUUGCACAAUGGGCGCAAGCCUGAUGCAGCGACGCCGCGUGCGGGAUGACGGCCUUCGGGUUGUAAACCGCUUUUGAUCGGGAGCAAGCCUUCGGGUGAGUGUACCUUUCGAAUAAGCACCGGCUAACUACGUGCCAGCAGCCGCGGUAAUACGUAGGGUGCAAGCGUUAUCCGGAAUUAUUGGGCGUAAAGGGCUCGUAGGCGGUUCGUCGCGUCCGGUGUGAAAGUCCAUCGCUUAACGGUGGAUCUGCGCCGGGUACGGGCGGGCUGGAGUGCGGUAGGGGAGACUGGAAUUCCCGGUGUAACGGUGGAAUGUGUAGAUAUCGGAA